UACGAAGGGGGCUAGCGUUGCUCGGAAUCACUGGGCGUAAAGCGCACGUAGGCGGCUUGUUAAGUCAGGGGUGAAAUCCUGGAGCUCAACUCCAGAACUGCCUUUGAUACUGGCGAGCUUGAGUUCGGGAGAGGUGAGUGGAACUGCGAGUGUAGAGGUGAAAUUCGUAGAUAUUCGCAAGAACACCAGUGGCGAAGGCGGCAUCCUGGACUGGUCCUGACACUCAGGAGCGAAAGCGUGGGGAGCGAUCCGG
RNAcentral lists this ribosomal RNA (253 nucleotides) under uncultured bacterium. RNAcentral describes it as "partial 16S ribosomal RNA". It matches the Rfam family "Bacterial small subunit ribosomal RNA", at positions 524 to 776 of the family's 1533-position model. The record is from RNAcentral.